GGAAAGUUGCAAAGUACUUUGAAGAGAGAGUUAAAAAGGACGUGAAACCGGUAGGAUGGAAGCAGACAAAGUUAACGAACGAGUGUUGUAUUCAAAAUCGUAUCUUGUGUACGGUUUGUUCUUACAGCCGAUGUGGGCUGGCGGCUUUGGUCAAUACAAUGUGUUUGGCGUCGAUGGUGACCCUGCGGAGGGAAAUUCGGUCGGCGUGCAAUGCUUGAUAUGACUAAGGUUUCGCCGGUCUUGAAGUUAUUGCUUUUUCUGACCCGUCUUGAAACACGGACCAAGGAGUGUAGCGUUUAUGCGAGUCUUAGAGUGUGUCAAAACUUUGAGGCGUAACGAAAGUGAAUGUGGUUUAAUCUACUGAAUUGGGAUACGUUGUCUCUUGUGGACGACGUCGGACCAUGGUUUUAUCGUGAUCGCUUGCGAUGCGGUGAAAAUAGAGCGUAAACGGUGCGACCCGAAA
This 463-nucleotide ribosomal RNA is filed under the name Steinernema sp. YNa170. RNAcentral's name for it is "eukaryotic LSU rRNA". It matches the Rfam family "Eukaryotic large subunit ribosomal RNA", at positions 358 to 821 of the family's 3401-position model. The record is from RNAcentral. Lineage: Eukaryota; Metazoa; Nematoda; Chromadorea; Rhabditida; Steinernematidae.